RNAcentral lists this ribosomal RNA (24 nucleotides) under Clavicorona taxophila. RNAcentral's name for it is "partial small subunit ribosomal RNA". The record is from RNAcentral. RNAcentral also lists the same sequence under 3 other names. Lineage: Eukaryota; Fungi; Basidiomycota; Agaricomycetes; Agaricales; Clavariaceae.
GUAGUGACCUGCGGAGGAUCAUUA